CUCCUGCCUCGACCUCCCAAAGUGUUGGGAUUCCAGCUACCUUCCAUUAGAGCUACCUGCCAAAUUUUGGAUGGCAGCACCCCAAGAUGAAAGGAGCUUGGAUCCCCAAGUCAUUAUUUGGAGGAGAGCCUCUGCAAAGAACUGCCUGCUGUGCACUGGACUGUGAGCUCAGACUGGACCUUCAGACCAGGCACCAGCAG
Molecule: long non-coding RNA, 200 nt
Filed under: Homo sapiens (human)
Lineage: Eukaryota; Metazoa; Chordata; Mammalia; Primates; Hominidae
Description: HSALNT0332794
Source: RNAcentral